Molecule: unclassified non-coding RNA, 326 nt
Filed under: Hevea brasiliensis (rubber tree)
Lineage: Eukaryota; Viridiplantae; Streptophyta; Magnoliopsida; Malpighiales; Euphorbiaceae
Source: RNAcentral
CCAGUGGAUUGAUCUUCAGGAAUCAUGCCACCUCCUUUGCUCGUGUCUGUUGCUUCUAGUAGCCUCACUACCUCGUCCAUCUCUGGACGUUUGUCUGGAUUUGCAUCCCAACAUUUUCUCAUGAUACUUGCAAGUGAAUUUGGGCAACAUCGAGGGAUUUCUGGACGCAAAUUCUGUCGAACAACUUGAGAUGAAACUUCAGCAAAGCUAAGAUCGGGAUAAGGCAUGUCACAGCAAUAAAUUUCCCAUAAGCAUAUACCAAAGCUGUAAACAUCACAUUUCCGAUUGUAAGGCUUACCAUCAAGAACCUCUGGGGCCAUGUAUCC